AUGGGAGAAGCAAGCUCGGAUGAUCUUUGCCAUUGUCAAGGGUGUCUUGGCAAGUACACCCUACUCAGAGAUGAAGAGAACCCGCAGCUGGCAAGGUUUGAGAGACGGCUUCCUUGCUUUGGUUGCGGAAUAGGAUGGUCCUCAUUUCUUUUAGGUUUCUUGUGUCCAUUGCUUUGGUACUAUGCAACGACCCUUUACUGCUGCAAGUACUACAAUAGGGAUCCCCGAGAGCGCCCGGGUCUUGCUGCCUCUGCUAUUGCGGCGGCCAUCUUCACUACUGCGGCAACUAUUACCCUCUCCAUCAUUCUGAUAAUCUGGGCACAAAAGUGA
This 330-nucleotide ribosomal RNA is filed under the name Triticum aestivum (bread wheat). RNAcentral's name for it is "partial small subunit ribosomal RNA". The record is from RNAcentral. Lineage: Eukaryota; Viridiplantae; Streptophyta; Magnoliopsida; Poales; Poaceae.